Molecule: ribosomal RNA, 449 nt
Filed under: uncultured bacterium
Lineage: Bacteria
Description: partial 16S ribosomal RNA
Rfam family: Bacterial small subunit ribosomal RNA
Source: RNAcentral
AACGAACGCUGGCGGCAGGCCUAACACAUGCAAGUCGAACGCUGUAGCAAUACAGAGUGGCAGACGGGUGAGUAACGCGUGGGAACGUGCCUUUCGGUUCGGAAUAACUCAGGGAAACUUGAGCUAAUACCGGAUACGCCCUUCGGGGGAAAGAUUUAUUGCCGAAAGAUCGGCCCGCGUCCGAUUGGCUAGUUGGUGAGGUAAUGGCUCACCAAGGCGACGAGCGGUAGCUGGUCUGAGAGGAUGAUCAGCCACACUGGGACUGAGACACGGCCCAGACUCCUACGGGAGGCAGCAGGGGGGAAUAUUGGACAAUGGGCGCAAGCCUGAUCCGGCCAUGGCGCGUGAGUGAUGAAGGCCCUAGGGUUGUAAAGCGCUUUGGCCAGGGACGAUAAUGGCAGUACCUGGAUAAGAAGCCCCGGCUAACUUCGUGCCAGCCGCCGCCGUAA